Molecule: ribosomal RNA, 253 nt
Filed under: uncultured bacterium
Lineage: Bacteria
Description: partial 16S ribosomal RNA
Rfam family: Bacterial small subunit ribosomal RNA
Source: RNAcentral
UACGUAGGGUGCGAGCGUUAAUCGGAAUUACUGGGCGUAAAGCGCACGUAGGCGGCUUUGCAAGACAGAUGUGAAAUCCCCGGGCUCAACCUGGGAACUGCAUUUGUGACUGCAAGGCUGGAGUGCGGCAGAGGGGGAUGGAAUUCCGCGUGUAGCAGUGAAAUGCGUAGAUAUGCGGAGGAACACCGAUGGCGAAGGCAAUCCCCUGGGCCUGCACUGACGCUCAUGCACGAAAGCGUGGGGAGCAAACAGG